Long non-coding RNA from Sinocyclocheilus anshuiensis, 89 nucleotides. RefSeq lists it as uncharacterized. NCBI's taxonomy places the organism in Eukaryota, Metazoa, Chordata, Actinopteri, Cypriniformes, Cyprinidae. The record is from RefSeq and is a predicted model, not a curated record. The transcript is spliced from 3 exons.
UUACAAGGUUUUCUGGAAAAAAAUGUCUGAAAUUGAUAAGCUGCUCACACUAGAAAGGCCUGAACAGCUAACCACUCAGGCUGGUUCAU